This 86-nucleotide small nuclear RNA is filed under the name Fukomys damarensis (Damara mole-rat). RNAcentral describes it as "U2 spliceosomal RNA". It matches the Rfam family "U2 spliceosomal RNA". Rfam says of the family: U2 is a small nuclear RNA (snRNA) component of the spliceosome (involved in pre-mRNA splicing). Lineage: Eukaryota; Metazoa; Chordata; Mammalia; Rodentia; Bathyergidae. The record is from Rfam by way of RNAcentral.
AUCACUUCUCAGCCUUUUGGCUAAGAUCAAGUGUAGUAUCUAUGAACUAUGUUUAAUAUAGAAAUGAAAGUAAUUUAAUACUAUCA